AUUGAACGCUGGCGGUAUGCUUAAGACAUGCAAGUCGAACGGUAACAGGUUAAGCUGACGAGUGGCGGACGAGUGAGUAACGCGUGGGAAUCUACCUUGUAGUGGGGGAUAAGCCAGGGAAACUUGGGACUAAUACCGCAUACGCCCUAAGGGGGAAAGGCGCAAGUCGCUAUAAGAUGAGCCCGCGUCUGAUUAGGUAGUUGGUGGGGUAAAGGCCUACCAAGCCGACGAUCAGUAGCUGGUCUGAGAGGAUGAUCAGCCACGUCGGGACCUGAGACACGGCCCGGACUCCUACGGGAGGCAGCAGUCGGGAAUAUUGGACAAUGGGGGAAACCCUGAUCCAGCAAUACCGCGUGUGUGAAGAAGGCCUGCGGGUUGUAAAGCAACUUUCAGUUGGGAAGGAUAAUGACGUUUACCAACAGAAGAAGCACCGGCUAACUCCGUG
RNAcentral lists this ribosomal RNA (445 nucleotides) under uncultured bacterium. RNAcentral describes it as "bacterial SSU rRNA". It matches the Rfam family "Bacterial small subunit ribosomal RNA", at positions 30 to 507 of the family's 1533-position model. The record is from RNAcentral.